GCUCCUCAUCCCCUAACCCUAGCCCAUUCUCCACGCCGCCGCUGCCGCCUCCCGUCCCCUGGCGCCGCCACCAUGCCCACUCGCCGUCGCGCCGUCGCGCCUUCCCCUCCUCCUCGCCGUCUCGCUGCUCAGCAGGCAGGCCGACCGGGCGUCUCCCCCGCGACCCACAUCCCCACUUGCCACCGCCGCCGGCUCCUCUCCUCUCCCUCCCGCGCCUCGUCUGCCUCCCUCUCCCUCGUCUCCUCUCCCGCACUGCUAGCCCCUUCUCGCUGCUUGCCCCUGCCGUCUCUCUCCUCCCCCGCGCCGCCAACCCCAGAUCUAGAGGAAGACGAGAGAGGCGGGAUCCGCUUCUUCCCCUAGCGCCGUCCCCGGCCUCCUCCCCUGGACACAGCGAGCGUGAGCGGUAGCGCGAGGAGCAAGGCUGGUGACUGGCCACUGCCGUUCCAGGGCAUCCCCGGCGUCGGUGUCGUCGUCCUCGCGUGCACCUGCAUCGCCAUUGACGAGAGGGGCAGGAACCACCAGCCACUCCUCUGGCUGCCAACCCUUCUCCCUCGCCCUCAGCCUCGACGCCGCCGGGAACAGGGAAGUCAUCGGCGACGACGCCGGCAAGGCCGCACUGCCAACCGACUGCGUGCGCUGCCUACCACGACCAGUAAGUUCUAGAGACAGAAAGAGAGAGAUGGAGUGAGAAGAAGAUACAGUGAGGGAGGAGGGAUGCCAUUGUACUAAUUGUGGAUGACCUACAGGUCCAUCUCUCCUCUCUCUCAGUUUUCAAGCUCAAUUCCCCAUUGUUUUGCAGAGUGGACAUUGCCUGAAAGCCACUUGACAGAAAUCCAGUGUCUUGUGACAUGCUAAUGCCACAAUAUUUAGAUGCAUGUAGCAGAUCUUUUUAUUUUCAUUGAAAUGUUUACCUCUGAUAUUGAGCAUAGUGCAUUAGUUUAUGAAUCAGCAUUGUAGAAUGCAAUCAUUUUGAUGUUGUUCAGAAUGAGAAGGCUUUCGUGAAGCGGCCAAAGAUCUUCCUUUGCUAAAAGAAAGCUGACUAGGUCUUCCUGGCAAGGCAGCUAAUCACAUGACGAGUUUGGAUGAUGAUGAUAGUCGUUUAAUUUUACUGCCUGCUUGGUAUUUGUUUAUGCAUACGAACAACUCUGAUUAUGAUUGCUGCAUUGCAUAAGGUUGCUUCCUUCUGAUGAUAAAUGUCGAAUGACUAUGGUAGUUUUUUUUGGCUUCACUACAUAAGGUUGCCUGUGCCUGGCUCAGACCCAUAUGUGACUCCAAUAUCUUCCUUUCUGCUCCAUAAAAGGUUCUGGUAUGUCUCAAUUCAUUCUCAGGGCAUUCAUGUCUGGUUUGUGAGGUCUGCUAAGUUUAACUCUUGCACUGCAAGAUAGGUUUCCAUCAAUUAUUACUUUUGAAUGACAACAAGUUCAGAAAUUGUUGCUCUGUAGUGAUAGUACUCUUAGAUUAUUUUAGUCUUAUUGGUUUGGAUGCUGGAAAUAUUUGUUUGUGUAAAUAAUGGUGCCUCACAACAUUUGGAUUUUAAAUUCUUAGAUUGUUUGCUAUGAUAAGGAAGUAGUCAUGUAUACAUAUACUAAUGUAGCAGUUUACCUUACUGCUUUCGGGCCAGUCGGGGGAGCUCAUGGCAGGGUCAGCAGCUUCAACUGCACCAAUGCAACUGUAUGUCUCUUUAGAAUAUGUACUCAGCUCAAAAUAAAAAUCUCAAGUGUAUAUGUUCUUGAGACAUGACAUACAUGAACACUCACAUGAUGGCUGCAAUCCCAUUAUUAACCACAUGCUUCUAUUUCUCUCUGAAUUCGUAUUUUAAACAUGGUGAAUUUCUGGGAAUGUGGUUUCAUGUAUAUCUAUGAAUACAUACAUGGUCAAUAAGUUUGCUUGGUAAAACAUAAGAAUUCAGGUUCACAUAAGCACCCACUUUUAUGUUGGCUACAUAUUAGUUACACUAAUGCACUACUCGAGCUUUGCUUUCCUUGUAUGGAAGUUUCAUCCGUUAACUCUGUUUCUUUUUACUCCAUUUUGUUCCUACAGGUCAUAAACCAUCCCCUUCCUGCCAUCAAUACCCUGGGCAUUGUUUGUACAGAAGUACCCAGUGCUACCUUAUUCAUAUUUAAUUGUAGCUCAUCUUUUCCAUGAAUUUGUUAGUAGAAUUUAUGUUCUGUUGCGAAGUGGCAUAUAUAAUUUGAUAUUUCUCCAGGAAAGAUAUCAUGAAGUGUGUUUGUCAUUCUGUAUAUUAACCGAGGGAGGAUCCUGCUGCUAACUGGCCUAAGAAAAUCCCUUGUUAAAAAUAUUAGUAAUGGGAGUUUGUGGCGGGAGGGGUGUUAUUUUAACAUCGUUAGUAGUUCCAUUUUUGGUCUCCUGUGUUUGAAACCAUCUUUACCUGCAGCCCCCUGUUUGGUUUUUUAGAUGGACUUUUCUUACCUAACAAGGCGGUAGGAUAAUUAGAAACAUUCAUUCUCUAAUAUAACACAUAUAUAAAAAGUUUCUAUAUGGUUCAAGCUUGCCCGGAUCUUUAUUUUGGUACAAACCUUCCUGCAUUUCGAGGUUAUGAUAACUGUGAUGCCAUUUAAUCAUGUGAAUACUGCUCUGCCUUGCAUAAUUGCCUCAUAUACUAUUCCUAAUGAGUGAAUGCUUUUUCCAGCCGGUAGAAUUACUAAGUUCUAUUGGUUAAUCUUGGUAUCACCACUAUACCAGUUUUUCAUGUGCAUCACUAUCCUACCAGUUAGUGUAUUGCUUUGAUAUUGAUAAUUCCUUGUGUUUUUAUGCUCACAGCAAUACUCUUGGUCUAAAUUUAACUUUUACCAGGGUUCAGGUGGUAAGCACAUUGACAGGAUCGACGAUCGACAACCCGAUCUAUCUCACUGAUGUUGAAGGUAGAGGCCCAGAGGUUAAGAUUAUGUGCAGUGAACCAUGCCUUUGUGAGAGGACCCAGACAAGAGGACCGCAUGUCGAGUAUCCGCCCUAAAAGUGUGGAGUGCAUCCGCCGUAAACAGCUACAUUGGUCUCCACCCGUUCAAUGUUGCAUCACUCGGUUCGUUUGCUUGCUUCCUUUGCUCGGUUCAGGAGGCAGACAGGGAGAAGGUUAGGGCCAGUUACAAGAACCUCAGGGUCUUGCGUCAUGGCUGUAUCCAUGCAUGUGUUGAAAGCAUUGAGCUUAGUUUAUAUAUGUAGACGCAAUUUCCUUUUCGUGUAUAAGAUAAUUGGUUUAUAUAUAGACUAUCCAUGAUGGAAGUUGAAAUUACUGUGAUAAUUGAUUUA
RNA transcript from Triticum aestivum (bread wheat), 3267 nucleotides. RefSeq lists it as uncharacterized. NCBI's taxonomy places the organism in Eukaryota, Viridiplantae, Streptophyta, Magnoliopsida, Poales, Poaceae. The transcript has 6 exons. The record is from RefSeq and is a predicted model, not a curated record.